CAAGAUGGCAGAGAGGAUAAUAAAUCUCACCCUAGAGAUCCUCUUCCGGCUUACUGGAGAGGACUACACAGUAGUGAAGAAGACCUCUAGUGAGCGCUGUCAGGCCCCUGUGUCUGAAGGAUGGGGGAGAACCCUGAGACCAAUCAUGGGGCCUCCACCUCACCCCCUGAUCCAUGAGGAAUUCAAUAGAGAGAAGAUCCUAGAACUCGCCAACAAAUUAAUUGAGCUGCUGACUGGAGAGGUUCCUAUAAGGUGUCAGGAUGUCACAGUCUUUUUCUCCAU
Molecule: long non-coding RNA, 282 nt
Organism: Bufo gargarizans (Asiatic toad)
Lineage: Eukaryota; Metazoa; Chordata; Amphibia; Anura; Bufonidae
Exons: 3
Source: RefSeq, a predicted model, not a curated record